Molecule: long non-coding RNA, 219 nt
Organism: Pan troglodytes (chimpanzee)
Lineage: Eukaryota; Metazoa; Chordata; Mammalia; Primates; Hominidae
Exons: 2
Source: RefSeq, a predicted model, not a curated record
GAACAUGAUAUGGCUCUAAUGACUGGAGGAACACCAGUGUCCUUUACCUUGAGCCAAUUCAGCAUUACAAAGAGAUUACUUAAGUGAGCGAAAACCAGACCAUACAUUUCUUGCAAUUUCCAUAAAUCCACUGUGGAACUUCAAAAGCAAUAUUUAAAAAGUUAAGCAACAAGACAAGGUGUACUUAGAAAUAAAAAUAAUGGAUAUUUUCUCAAAGAA